CUACUACUCCCUCCGUCCGAAAAUACUUGUCAUUGAAAUGGAUGUAUCUAGAUGUAUUUUAGUUCUAGACACAUCCAUUUUGAUGACAAGUAAUUCCGAACGGAGGGAGUAUUAU
This is a non-coding RNA of Triticum aestivum (bread wheat), 115 nucleotides long. NCBI's taxonomy places the organism in Eukaryota, Viridiplantae, Streptophyta, Magnoliopsida, Poales, Poaceae. The record is from Rfam.